This 599-nucleotide long non-coding RNA is filed under the name Pan troglodytes (chimpanzee). RNAcentral describes it as "long non-coding RNA NONPTRT001301". The record is from RNAcentral. Lineage: Eukaryota; Metazoa; Chordata; Mammalia; Primates; Hominidae.
AUCUAAGAGUUGAAAUAAAUGUGACGUAAAAGGGAGGAGGUGAUCUCCCUCACCAGGAUCGGGGUGCACAUCCAGGAACACACCUUACCCUGGAGCCUGGGGCCUGGCCUCCCUCUGCAGCAACCAGUGAGACAAAGAUGGGCAAGGCUCUGACAAUCCGGGCCAGAGGGUGUAACUUGGGCCAAGAAGUCGUGAUGUGAGUAGGUCACACAGUGUUGAGGGCCAAAACCCUCGACUCCGUUGGGAGUUAAAGGGGAGGAAGUGGACAUUUCCUUUGAACCUAAUAAUAAGCAGGUGAGGUUUUGUAUUCUCAUUUUUCACAGUGCAAGAAAAUUUUGUUUAGAAAUUCUAGUUAAGUCAUUUACCCAAAGCCCUAAAGCCAGUAAACAGCAAGUGGGAAUCAAACCCAAGUCCCUUGACAUGCCAAACCAGCUUCUUUCCACUAGACCACCCCUUCCCCCAUUACUGUAAACUCCAUCUCUCCGCUGCUGUCAGCUCCUUCUUGAUCCGUACAGAAAUAAAAGUUUGCCACCAUUUUGCCUGACCUCCUCCAGAGACUCGCUUCAGGAUCCUAGAGCCAGAUCUGCACCCCACAACUU